CCUGGACAGGCCCGGUGCACACUGCGUCCCCGGGCGCAGUGGCCCACGCGGUCACCUCAGCACUGGGUGGAGGAGGGAGGACGGCGAGUCUGCAGCAGCCUAACCCCCGAGAGGCCCUGGUGUGCACCGCGGGAGCCUCAGUGCAGCCGGGCGGGUGGCACGGGCCUGUGAUCCGGGGGCUCGGAGGCCGAGGCAGGAGGAUGGCAAGUUCAGGGCCAGCCUCAGCCACUCAGUGAGGCCUGACACUGACAAAAUAUCCUUAAAAAGGGCUGGAGGUGGCUCGGGGGUUAAGGCCCCUGGGUUCCAUCCCCGGUCCUCCCAGAAGCCUCAGCCCUCCUGUCUGUGGGAAGGGUCCACGGUCCCGCUGUCCCUCUGGGGGACAGCACAGGGCCCCAGGCCGCGGUGGGAGUCAGCGCAGCUGCUCCUGAGGCACCGGACCUGGGGGACCCUGACCCCGGAGGCCCAGAGCCCACAAGCUCAGCCGGACUCGCUGGACGCUGUCCCCGUGUCCUUCCCACUGAGCUCGGGUCAUCUGCUGAACCUCCCACGGCCUGGGGACAGAGUCCCCCCCCCCAGGGUGGGCACAGACCUCGGGGCGUCUCGGCCUCAGUCCCCGCCACUGGGACCUCGCAUCAGAGUGGCCCUGGGGGAGGGUGCAGCUUGCAGAGCGCCCCAUGCAGGGUCCCUGGGUCCACCCCACGCUGGACGACGUGGCCUGCCCUGGACGCUGGCCUGGCCAUGCGGCACCGGGGCCAGCGUCACCCUCGGCGCUGGAGGAUCUGUUCCCCGUGUCUGGGACGCACCUUCCUGGUCCCUGGGUCCCCCGCGUGCCCCGCGUGUCCUCCACAGAACGAGCAUUUACUGAGCACCUACUGUGCGCACGCGGCUCAGUGCUCUGCAGGCAGGGACGGGCACCUCCUCCGCCCCGUGUGGCACACGUCACUCCAGGGAGACCAACAGGAAAUGAGAAAAGAGCCAGAUCAUCUCGAGAAUGGAAAGCGCCUGCAGGAAGCCAGCGGGUGCCGCGGAGUGGGGGCUGGGGGCCCG
Molecule: long non-coding RNA, 1047 nt
Filed under: Urocitellus parryii (Arctic ground squirrel)
Lineage: Eukaryota; Metazoa; Chordata; Mammalia; Rodentia; Sciuridae
Description: lncRNA (ENSUPAG00010010035.1)
Source: RNAcentral